RNAcentral lists this small RNA (17 nucleotides) under Arabidopsis thaliana (thale cress). Its description in RNAcentral is "ATSL062810". The record is from RNAcentral. Lineage: Eukaryota; Viridiplantae; Streptophyta; Magnoliopsida; Brassicales; Brassicaceae.
UGUCCCUUCAAUCCAAA